This 253-nucleotide ribosomal RNA is filed under the name uncultured bacterium. RNAcentral's name for it is "partial 16S ribosomal RNA". It matches the Rfam family "Bacterial small subunit ribosomal RNA", at positions 524 to 776 of the family's 1533-position model. The record is from RNAcentral.
UACGUAGGGUGCGAGCGUUGUCCGGAAUUAUUGGGCGUAAAGGGCUCGUAGGCGGUUUGUCGCGUCGGGAGUGAAAACACCGGGCUUAACUCGGUGCUUGCUUUCGAUACGGGCAGACUAGAGGUAUGCAGGGGAGAACGGAAUUCCUGGUGUAGCGGUGAAAUGCGCAGAUAUCGGGAGGAACACCUGAGGCGAAGGCGGGCUACUGGGCCGAUACUGACGCUGAUGUGCGAAAGCCAGGGGAGCGAACGGG